AGACAGGCUCAGCUCCCAGCUGCAACUGGCAGGUCUGAGGCUCAGUUCUCACAGAAGAGCAAACCCACCAAGGGCAGCGCUCGCCUCCGGAGCCAUGUGCUGGCCUGGGGAGCCUGCCACCUCGAGGGCCCAACAACUUCUCAGAGUGGGGGAGGGGCCCGGCAUCUCCUGAGCCGCAGCUCCCCGAAGCUCCUGGCUGAUAUCCACCGACCUGUGAUGUCAUCCACAAACACAUGGAAGGCAAAAGUGCCUCUCCCUGGGAAUGAAAGGGCAGGGGCUGGGCUAGUCACCGCAUGGGAAGCAGAAACCAGACACAGACAGAGAGAGCACCCAGAAGAAAUCAGAGCACAGCCAAACUUCUAAUCAGAUCUCGUUACAGAUGGUUGUGAGCCACCAUGUGGUUGCUGGGAUUUGAACUCUGGACCUUCGGAAGAGCAGUCGGGUGCUCUUACCCACUGAGCCAUCUCACCAGCCCCAAGAGGUAAGAUGCAAAAGGAAGGUCCAGCCUUCUGGAGUAUGCAGAAGGUUUGACAAAGGCUGUCGUGGGGCUAAAUGAAUGUGAUCAUCCAGAGAUAAAUAAGGAGAAGAAAAGCUAUGGAUUCCUUCAAAAUGAAUGAAAAUCAGAUUUGAUCAGGGGAGACCCCCUGAAGAUCCUGACUGCAGACAUGAAAGAAAUCAAGAAUACCAACAAAACAGACAGGUCAGCUCCAGGCAGCACCCCCAUUCUACUUCAUAGAAGAUGAUGAGCAUCGAGAACCUCUGUACGGAGUUUGCUUCAAAUGUGGCAAACAAGCCACUGGGCAAGAAACUGCCCUUGCUUCAGCCGCUGACAGUAUGCUGUCCAAACUGGACCAACAGGAUGCAGGAGUUGCCCUGGUCCCAGUGUCUCUUCACAACAGUGAACAGUGUCUAAACAGGUUUCAAAUUUUGAUUGGUUGGAUGAAGCAUCUAUCAAAAGAUGGCUUAUUGAAAGAGUUGGAGAUGCCUGAUACCCCUUGGCUUAGUGCUGCUGAAGGGAUUUUAAGGCUCAGGGAAUUGCAGUGCUCGAGUGGGUACGCUGUGUAAAACCUCCACAACGUGAAGGCCCAGAAGACACGCCCUUCACAAAUCCUGUAAGACACAAAAUGGUGCACCAGCACAUUUGAAGAGUUUUGCCCUUUUCCUUGUGCCAGACCUAAGGGCUGGAGAUGCUGCUGCUCAGUGGAUGAAUUAAAUGCAAUGGGUUUAACUGGGGCACAGAGUAGCAGGGCCAGGUGGCAGCACUGAAUUAACUAAGGCAAGGUGAUCAUAGUUAUUCCAAUGAGCAGCACAACAACAAAGCAAUGAUCGUAAUAGCCUGCCAUGAUGGUCAGCACAGGCAAAGUGAAUUUUAGGGUGGCAUGACUGGUAUGGACUUAGGUACUGGGUAACCAACCAUGGUGUUUCCAGGCAUGAAACAGGAAGCCUACUAUGUAAGAGGAAAAUUUCUCAAACAAAUAAAAGGCUUACAUUAAGUCAUGAUCAAGAGAGAAUCUCAACCUGUGAACCAAUUUCUAGAGUUGAGCCAGUUUGCAGACCCAGAUCUCCUUGAAUGAGGGAGUGGCCAAGUUCCACUGAUUAAGGACCUUGAUAAGACACCUAAAAGUUUUACUGUUAGUCUUUCUCCUGUCCUUCCCCAGAGGGACCUACGGGCUUUUAGAAGGGAAAUUGUACACGAGGGGAAGGAAACUAUCAGACUUCCUGAGGUCUACUGAAUGCUGUUCUGAACUGACCCUGGUUCUGGGAAACCCCUAGAGACAUGGUGGCCCAUCAGUUAAAGUCAGAGCUUAUGAUAGGAGCCAGGUGAUUAAUGGAGUUUAGGCUAAAGUCUGACUCAUAGUAGGCUCAGGGAGAGCCUGAAUUUCUCCUGUGGUUAUUUCCCAAGUCCCAGAAUGUAUAAUCGGGAUAGAUAUACUUAGAAGUUGGCAGAGUUCUCACACUGGUUCCCUGGUCUGUGGUGUGAGGGCUAUUAUGGCUGGAAAGGCUAAAUGGAAGUCUUUAGAGUUGCCUCUCUACCAUGGAAAAUAGUGAAUCCAGGAACAAGUGUCACCGUCAAGGACUUGGGAGACAAAGCGGGGAGAGGGGCUCCCAGGUCUCCCUUUAGCCCUCCUACCUGGCCUGUACAGAAUAUUUUGGUAAGAACCUGUUUGCACAGAUAUUUGUGUUUUCUUCACUAAGUUUCUUUAUCAUACAGUGUAUCAUCAAUUGAGAUAAUAUCAAUGGUUCUCACAUUUAAGUUAUGAGGUAUUAAAGUAACUUUCCUCAAAGGACAUUGCCACCUAUUCUAAAAUGUAUAAUGAAUUUGUGGUUGUACAUGUUCAAGUUAUAAAUUA
Molecule: long non-coding RNA, 2351 nt
Filed under: Mus musculus (house mouse)
Lineage: Eukaryota; Metazoa; Chordata; Mammalia; Rodentia; Muridae
Description: predicted gene, 39090, transcript variant 2 (Gm39090)
Source: RNAcentral